UGGGGAAUCUUGGACAAUGGGGGCAACCCUGAUCCAGCGACGCCGCGAGUGAUGAAGGCCCUAGGGUCGUAAAGCUCUUUCGCCAGAGAUGAUAAUGACAGUAUCUGGUAAAGAAACCCCGGCUAACUCCGUGCCAGCAGCCGCGGUAAUACGGAGGGGGUUAGCGUUGUUCGGAAUUACUGGGCGUAAAGCGCGCGUAGGCGGACUAUUAAGUCAGGGGUGAAAUCCCGGGGCUCAACCCCGGAACUGCCUUUGAUACUGGUAGUCUAGAGUUCGAGAGAGGUGAGUGGAAUUCCGAGUGUAGAGGUGAAAUUCGUAGAUAUUCGGAGGAACACCAGUGGCGAAGGCGGCUCACUGGCUCGAUACUGACGCUGAGGUGCGAAAGCGUGGGGAGCAAACAGGAUUAGAUACCCCCGUAGUCC
Molecule: ribosomal RNA, 422 nt
Filed under: uncultured prokaryote
Description: bacterial SSU rRNA
Rfam family: Bacterial small subunit ribosomal RNA
Source: RNAcentral